RNAcentral lists this ribosomal RNA (589 nucleotides) under uncultured bacterium. Its description in RNAcentral is "partial 16S ribosomal RNA". It matches the Rfam family "Bacterial small subunit ribosomal RNA", at positions 355 to 1375 of the family's 1533-position model. The record is from RNAcentral.
UGGGGAAUUUUGGACAAUGGGCGAAAGCCUGAUCCAGCAAUGCCGCGUGUGUGAAGAAGGCCUUCGGGUUGUAAAGCACUUUUGUCCGGAAAGAAAUCCUUGGCUCUAAUACAGUCGGGGGAUGACGGUACCGGAAGAAUAAGCACCGGCUAACUACGUGCCAGCAGCCGCGGUAAUACGUAGGGUGCAAGCGUUAAUCGGAAUUACUGGGCGUAAAGCGUGCGCAGGCGGUUUGCUAAGACCGAUGUGAAAUCCCCGGGCUCAACCUGGGAACUGCAUUGGUGACUGGCAGGCUAGAGUAUGGCAGAGGGGGUAGAAUUCCACGUGUAGCAGUGAAAUGCGUAGAGAUGUGGAGGAAUACCGAUGGCGAAGGCAGCCCCUGGGCCAAGUACUGACGCUCAUGCACGAAAAGCGUGGGGAGCAAAACAGGAUUAGAUACCCUGGUAGUCCACGCCCUAAAACGAUGUCAACUAGUUGUUGGGGAUUCAUUUCCUUAGUAACGUAGCUAACGCGUGAAGUUGACCGCCUGGGGAGUACGGUCGCAAAGAUUAAAAACUCAAAGGAAUUGACGAGGUCAUAGCUGUUUCCU